This 465-nucleotide ribosomal RNA is filed under the name uncultured bacterium. RNAcentral's name for it is "partial 16S ribosomal RNA". It matches the Rfam family "Bacterial small subunit ribosomal RNA", at positions 28 to 507 of the family's 1533-position model. The record is from RNAcentral.
GGCGAACGCUGGCGGCGUGCUUAACACAUGCAAGUCGAACGGAAAGGCCCUGCUUGCGUGGUACUCUAGUGUCGAACGGGUGAGUAACACGUGGGUGAUCUGCCCUGCACUUCUUGAUAUGCCUUGGAAACUGUGUCUAUUACCGGAUAGGAGCCAUUUUGAUGGUUAUUGUUGGAUAGUUUUUUCGGUGUAGGAUGAGCUCACGGCCUAUCAGCUUGUUGGUGGGUUAAUGGCCUACCAAGGCGGCGACGGGUAGCCGGCCUGGGAGGGUGGACGGCCAAAAUGGGGAUGGGAUAAGGGCCCGACUCCUAAGGGAGGCAGGAGUGGGGAAAAUUGCACAAUGGGCGGAAGCCUGAUGCAGCGAAGCCGCGUGGGGGAUGACGGGCUUCGGGUUGUAAAACCCUUUCGCUAGGGAAGAAGCUUUUUGUGACGGUACCUAGAUAAGAAGCACCGGCUAACUACGUG